AGCUAGCUGGGAUUGGCCCACGAGCUCCCUCUUAUACUGGCAAGCUCCAUCACUCAGGAUGCUAAACAAAGUUCUGGAAGUAGUGAGGAGUUCUGUGACAAGCCAAAAGUGAGCUAAAAGUGACAUUUGAGUCCCACAUUUUCUACAGUGCCACAUCUGCCAAGCCUCUCUUCCCCAUUGGCUACUUUCAGGGCUUUUCAGUGGCUGAGUAACGUGUGGGAAAUCAAUUGCUGGAAAUCAGAUGUUACAGGAGCAGAGCAGGGAACCUGUUCCACUCAUGGAGUCAUCAAAGAACUUGUACCUGCCCUGGCACUGCAGCAAUCUGCCCCAGCAUGCCAUGGCCCAUCCAACAUCCUAAAGAAGCCCUUCCAGAAGUCUGGACGCUGUCGUACAUUGAUGAUUUUUGUAUGU
This is a long non-coding RNA of Passer domesticus (house sparrow), 411 nucleotides long. RefSeq lists it as uncharacterized. The record is from RefSeq and is a predicted model, not a curated record. The transcript has 3 exons. NCBI's taxonomy places the organism in Eukaryota, Metazoa, Chordata, Aves, Passeriformes, Passeridae.